Non-coding RNA from Ictidomys tridecemlineatus (thirteen-lined ground squirrel), 2678 nucleotides. NCBI's taxonomy places the organism in Eukaryota, Metazoa, Chordata, Mammalia, Rodentia, Sciuridae. The record is from RefSeq and is a predicted model, not a curated record.
UCAAAAAAAAAAAAAAGACUGUCUUGGGGAUAUAAAAAUUGAAACUUGCCCAAAUGCAAAUUAUCAGACUUAAAGUCAGACCUACUGAGACAGAAACUGGGGGUGAGUGGGUCUCAGUACUCUGAAUUUAAACAAGUCCUCAUGGUCAUCCUGGUGUAGGCCAAAUUUUGAGAAUCCCUACCCUAGAGAAUCCUGAGACCCUUUGCUACUCAGCCAUCUGCCUGAUUAGGAAACUGUAAGUGGAAAACGGUGACAUUUGUCACCAAGAGGGAAUCUAGCAAGACUAGUGACUCUUCCGAGAGGAGAAGAACACAGGAGAGAGGAAUCCUGAUGGAACUACAGUUAGUCUCCCUGGAAUAAGGAAUUGAUGAGUUAGAUACUUCUUCCUGUGUAUUCCUGCCCUUACGGAGCCAAACUGAUCAAGGAAGGAACAUACCAUUGAUCAAUUUGUUUAAUAAACUUCAGUGGGGAUACAGCCUCCGGGGUGGAACUUGAAACUCAUCAGCUUAUAGUCACCAAGGCCUUUAAGUGCCAGGCUAAGACACUCAUGCCUUCUCCAGAAGAAGUCAACCAGACCCCAUACCUUAUGCCUGGCUCUGUCUUCCUGCUCUUUCAGUGGACAGAUCUUCUGUCUUCAUCAGAGAACACAAUUUGAGGAAGUUGGCCCUGCAGUGGGUCCAUGCUGCCAAGCCUACAUAGCCCAAGAACAGAAACCCAGGGACAUGUAUGUAAGUGACUCAGACAAAGCUUGUGGAGAGGAAGUUGGUGAUGUUUCCGUGGGAAAGGAUUCCUGGUGAGAGAAGCUUAAAACAUGUAGCCUACAAAGACCAACAGCAAUUAGUAAAGAAGCAAUGAAAACAGGCUUCUAAUCAAGUGAUCUCAGAAGGCAGCAAGCAAACUAAGGGAGACAAAAUCCAUGUUAUGAAGCAUAUUGAAACUCUAGAAGGCUAUUUUUAUUAUCUUUCCACAAUGUGCAGAACACAGCCAUUCUUAGAGAACUGUGGUGUCGGUUACUUUUGUUUUUACUACUAUUAUUAUUGUUUUGAGGGCUCAGGAGCACCCACAGGCAUUUGCUUUUUAGAAAUGUCCACCGUGAUGGCAACUCUAUUUCCAGUUGUGCUGUAUCUCUGAAAGUAAUGCAUGAGUAGGGUUGGAUUAUGUCAUUUUAAUGUAUUAAACCCAGUGAAAACCCAGUUCAUGUAUGAAUCACUAUGUUUUGUAAACAUGGAGUUAAAAUAAAACUUUUGUUGUUCUUCUGAAAAAAAUAUGAAUAAUGGGAUCUAUUCUCCUCUACCGAUAGUAUGUCCAAUAUUAACUCAUAGAAUAAAAGGUUGAUUUAUCAAUUCUUUCCUUUCUAGAAAAAAAGUCUCCAAGUGUAUGAAAGUAUAUGGUCAGAGAACUCUCAAGUGAAUAUCCAAUAUAGAAUGAAAAAAGUUUUAGUGUUUCUUUUUUGUUCAAGGAUAUUGAUUAUGGGAGGGGGAAGUGAAAAUAAGCAUUUUGGUAUGCAAAUAUAACUAUCUUUGGUGUUCAUUUGUCAUGUGUUGUAAAUUCAUCCUUGUCUAUAACCCUAGUAUUUCAUCCCUCCAUCUAAUAUGAAAUGACUUUGGUUUAGUAAUACAUUGUGUACAGACCAGGUAUUCUAAAUGUCUGAAUAUACUCAGCUUCUUCCUCUCAUAUCUAUCUCUAUAUAUCUGCCAUUUGGGAUCCCCUCAAAAUAAUUUAUUUAUUUCUUCUAUAUUUUAUCAAUGUACAGCUAAACAGCAUACUUUGUCCUAUAUCCAUUAUGUAUGCAUUAAACUUUUCUUUGUAUCAAACCCAAUGUUCUGAUAGAAGAUGAGGUGGGGAGGGGCUAAGAUACUCCCAAUGACCUUACCUCCUUGUUCUUAUGCCCUUGUGUGACUUCCAUGAUGUAUGGCAUGAACCUAGUGACUCCCUUUCAGCAAUGAGAACAUGGAAGAAGUGAUGGGAUGUCACUUCUGGGAAUAGAAAGUAAAGCAUCAGGCUUUCUACUGUGGAAAACACAAGGAGUUUUCCUAAAAAAAUUAAAAAUAGAACCACCAUAUUAUUUUGCAAUACAUUUGCUGUGUAUGUACCCAAAGGAAAUGAAAUACAUCUGUUGAAGAGACAUCUGAACUCCCAUUGUUACUGAAGCACAAUUCAUACUAGCCAAGGAAUGGAAAUAACCUAACUGUCCAUCAAUGGAUGAAUGGAUGGAUACAAAAAAUGUUGGACAUACACCAAUGAAUGUUAUUCAGCCAUAAAAGGAUGCCAUUCUACCAUUUGAGACAAAAUGGAUUGAAGGGGAAGACAUUAAAUAAGCCAGACUCUGAAGACAAGCACCACCUGAUAUCAUUUAGAAAGGUGGUCUCAGAAGUUGAUAGUUAGCAUGAUACUUAUCAGAGGCCAUGAAGAUUAGGAGGGAGUGAUGGGGAAGGAUUAAUUUUAGUUUUCUAGUUUGAGAGUAGCAAAUAAAAUAUAUACUGUAAUUUUUUAAAGUUAUAGGAAAGAAUUUUAAAUGUUUUCACCAUAAAGAAAUGACAGAUGAUUGAAGAAAUAUAAUCAUUAUGAUUUGACAUUACAUAAUGUAUACCUGAUUCCAAAUAUUACAUGUCAUGUUAAAUAUGUACAAUUAUUAUGUAUUGGUUAAAAAGAGAAAUCAAUAUUAAAAUAUAGUUUCC